GACUGAAAGAAGGCAAAGAACCUUCAGUUUCAGUUCUCAGUUACCGACAUUCAGAAACCGGAGAUGGGAUCUGGUGCUGGAAGUUUCCUCAAAGUUCUCCUUAAAAACUUCGAUGUUCUUGCUGGGCCUGUGGUUAGUUUGGUUUAGCCACUGUAUGCCUCAAUUCGGGUUAUAGAGACCAAAUCACCAACUGAUGAUCGCCAAUGGCUUAUGUAUUGGAUUCUCUACUUUAUGAUUACACUCUUUGAGCUCACUUUUGCCAAACUUAUUGAGUGAUCAUAAUACAUGCCUGAUUGGAGAAGACGAGCACUGCUACAGUGACAAUCAUGUGUCAAACAUUGAAGGUGGUUGCUAUGCUAAGUGCAUUGAUUUGUCAAAAGACAAGCAACCAGAUAUUUGGAAUUCUAUCAAAUUUGAGACUGGCCAAAUAAAGGAGGUCCUUCUAAGCUACACUCAAAGUUCAUUUGAUUAACCCUUCAGUCAAGAUCCGCCUUCUUUUGGCUAUCAGUUAAGACAUAGGAGAGGAAAAUCAGAAACUACUCGACAUUCUUUAUCUCUGGGCAUGCUGUGGCUCGACACUCUGCAGAGGGCAUCACAAAGAACCUGUGGGUUGCAAUCCUGCAACUGCUUCUUUAUCAGCUUAUUUCGCCUGAUUUUGUCAACCCAUUAUCCAAUCUUUUCUUAAGGCUUCCUUUUUCCCGAAGGUACGUUACUGCUGAUUAUCAU
This is a long non-coding RNA of Rosa chinensis, 726 nucleotides long. RefSeq lists it as uncharacterized. NCBI's taxonomy places the organism in Eukaryota, Viridiplantae, Streptophyta, Magnoliopsida, Rosales, Rosaceae. The transcript has 6 exons. The record is from RefSeq and is a predicted model, not a curated record.